CCGCUCCUUCGAUGAGCUUCUGUCUCCCCGGAAAGGGAAGAAGAAAAAACGAAAGUCUGAACGGAGGAGGAAAAGAAGCAGGUCUCCUUCACACAGCCUGCCCCCUCUAAGGAAGAAGAAAAAGAAGAAGAAGAAGAGUUCCAAGAAAAGCAAAGGACACAGGUAGAUCUUUAAAAAAGGAAACGAACAUGAAAAACCUGCUCCAACAUUUAUUUUAUCUGAUCAAAUCUGUUGUUCUUUUUAAUAAAUAUUUCAGGUGUACCUCAAAGAAGUCAAAACACAGGUAAAGGAUUUAUUUUUAUUGGUAAAAAAAACUCUGUUCCUGCGUUUGUUGCUAUCAUGCCUGCAGCACCGACAUCUAGGAAUCAGAGCAGCAGCUUUGUUGGUAUCAAAGCCAGCAGCUCACGGUUCUGUCCUCUUUCAUCCUGCAGCUCUUCAAGUUUAAAGCAUAAGCAUAGGAGGGAUGAACGGAAGCACAAGAAAAGUUCUCGGAUUCGCAAACAUCGGAGACGACGCGAUCGGAGGUUGCGGUCGGAUACUUCCUGCUGCCAUUCCAAAACAGAGGACAGAUAUCCUCUGCAUAAGUCUGUGGUUCAUCAGGCUUUUAGAGACCUAGCAGCUGUUGAAGAGGAAGCCAGAGCAGCCCUGAGCCACACGGACACCAGACCACCAACCAAAUCUGUUUGUACCGCGGCUCCAAAAUAUCGCUCCGUCCUCUCGGCCAGCGCCAUUUUGCCCUCAAAUCCUGGAAAAGUGCUUUUCAACGGAAGCAGAGCUCAAAAUUUGCCAAACUGCAGAGAAGGUCCGCAUGAUUAUGAUUCUGGUAAUGACACAUCUUCACCUCCAUCAAGCAAAACCGGUGUUUCCCAAGGGAGCGCCGCUGAGUAUGCCAGGACCGGACGUGUGGCCUCGGCGUUCAGAGACAGCGCCUCGGAUUCAGGGAACUCUGUGACCAGCUUUGCAUCUUCCUGCAAACCUUUCGGGGAAACCAGCCUGUCUGCAACCCUCUGCAAUCAAAUCAGGAACAGGGAGCAGAUAACCUUGGGGUGUCACGUAGAGGUUGUCGGAUCGUCUGAGUCAACCAGCUGUGAAUCGAGGAGGAGGAGGGGUUCGUCUCGGACAAAAGGUCGCUCUUCCACCAGCAGGAGCAGAUCCUCAGGGAGUUCCAAAUACUUGGGACGCUAUUCCAGAAGCUCCUCGUUGUCUUCUCGCAGCUCGUACUCACGAUCCCCCAGUCACUCAGAUGUCAGGCGAAGAGGCAGCAUGAGCAGCCUGAGCUCCAGAGGAAGCUACUCCAGACACAGUGAUGACAGACUUUCAGACAGAAAGAGACGAGCAGACUCCAGAGAGACAGACGCAAAGCAAGGCCGCAAAGUCAGGAAGCGAGGAAGGCGCAAAUCCUACACUCCCAUGAGGAAGAGGAGGAGGGACUCGCCGAGUCAUCUAGAAGCUCGGCGCAUCACAAGUGCGAGGAAGAGGCCCAUUCCUUAUUUCCGGCCAAGCCCCCCCUCCAGCAUUCGUUCCACCAGCGUGUCGUCCUGGAGCAGCAUCUUCACCCGCAGUCGAAGCCCCAUCCACAGCAUCAGCCGCAGUCGCAGCCACAGCUUCUCCUCCUACAGGAGCUACAGUCGCAGCUCAUCCUGGAACUCCACCUGCGGGAGCCGCAGUCGCAGUCGCAGCCGCAGCCGCAGUUUGCUCAUCAAACGCAGGAAAACGAGGCAUUAG
Long non-coding RNA from Oryzias sinensis (Chinese medaka), 1725 nucleotides. The record is from Ensembl. NCBI's taxonomy places the organism in Eukaryota, Metazoa, Chordata, Actinopteri, Beloniformes, Adrianichthyidae.